Molecule: ribosomal RNA, 402 nt
Filed under: uncultured prokaryote
Description: bacterial SSU rRNA
Rfam family: Bacterial small subunit ribosomal RNA
Source: RNAcentral
UGGGGAAUAUUGGACAAUGGGCGAAAGCCUGAUCCAGCAAUGCCGCGUGAGUGAAGAAGGUCUUCGGAUUGUAAAGCUCUUUCGACGGGGACGAUGAUGACGGUACCCGUAGAAGAAGCCCCGGCUAACUUCGUGCCAGCAGCCGCGGUAAUACGAAGGGGGCUAGCGUUGCUCGGAAUGACUGGGCGUAAAGGGCGCGUAGGCGGUUUGUACAGUCAGAUGUGAAAUUCCUGGGCUCAACCUGGGGGCUGCAUUUGAUACGUAUGGACUGGAGUGAGGAAGAGGGUCGUGGAAUUCCCAGUGUAGAGGUGAAAUUCGUAGAUAUUGGGAAGAACACCGGUGGCGAAGGCGGCGACCUGGUCCUUUACUGACGCUGAGGCGCGAAAGCGUGGGGAGCAAACA